This is a long non-coding RNA of Aedes aegypti (yellow fever mosquito), 619 nucleotides long. RefSeq lists it as uncharacterized. The transcript has 2 exons. The record is from RefSeq and is a predicted model, not a curated record. Lineage: Eukaryota; Metazoa; Arthropoda; Insecta; Diptera; Culicidae.
AAUAUCAAUGCAUUGCGUUGGCUUUGGGAGAAACUUUCGUCUGAAUUUGGGUAUACUCACUUCAAAACGAAUUACGCAUUGCAAGAUUGUGUGGAGAACCUUUUCUCAGAGAUCAGACGGCGGUGCGGCAGGAAAAUAGACGUAUAAAAAUUAGACCGCUAAUGUCGCUGCAAAUGUUGUGACCAACAUCUAGUUUGCAUGUUUCAGAGGUGGUACUCAAAGUGUCAAAUUUUUCUUCAAUUCAAUCAUAGUAACGUGUUUUCGAAAUCAAAACAUAAUCUCUGUCAUAGUUCUUGCCAUCGUACUUGAGUCGUGUUGACUUGAGAAAAAAAAGUUUUUCGUGUGCAAAGGAAAACAUCUUCAAUUGGUGUCGUUCCACAGGAUCGCAUAGAUUGAGGAUGUCAAUGAAAGACAAUACGGAUGGCGGAUUAGCUUUUGCUCCUAGUUCUUUCAACCUGCUGCAGGAAAAAGUUUUUGUCUGCUACUGUUUGACCAUAUGUAAGGAAGAAACCGUGAAGAUCAAAUGUUUCUAUGUUUGCACAUUCCAAAUUGAUUUUUAUUAUUUAUGGUUGGGCGAAGAGAAAAAGUUGUAGCAAAUAAACGUUUUUUUUUAUUCAAA